Molecule: small RNA, 107 nt
Filed under: Marmota monax (woodchuck)
Lineage: Eukaryota; Metazoa; Chordata; Mammalia; Rodentia; Sciuridae
Source: RNAcentral
GCCUGACUUGCUGGCGCAUGCCUGUAAUCCCAGUUGCUCAGGAGGCUGAGGCAGGAGGAUCGCAAGUUCAAAGCCAGCGUCAGCAACUCAGUGAGAUCCUGUUUCUA